Molecule: transfer RNA, 73 nt
Filed under: Cavia porcellus (domestic guinea pig)
Lineage: Eukaryota; Metazoa; Chordata; Mammalia; Rodentia; Caviidae
Rfam family: tRNA
About the family: Transfer RNA (tRNA) molecules are approximately 80 nucleotides in length. Their secondary structure includes four short double-helical elements and three loops (D, anti-codon, and T loops).
Source: Rfam by way of RNAcentral
GGGGGUAUAGCUCAGCGGCAUAAGCGCCUGCCUUGAAAGCAGGCAGUUGUGAGUUCGAUCCCCGGUACCGAUA